Molecule: non-coding RNA, 47 nt
Filed under: unclassified sequences
Description: L31-Actinobacteria ribosomal protein leader
Rfam family: L31-Actinobacteria ribosomal protein leader
Source: RNAcentral
GCGGUUCCGGUUCACGUGCGCGACCCGCGCCGCACGACCCGGCGACC